GGGUGCGUAACGCGUAUGCAACCUGCCUUAUGCAGGGGGAUAGCCCAUGGAAACGUGGAUUAAUACCCCAUAGAUCAGCAGUCCUGCAUGGGACAACUGGUAAAGGUAUUCCGGCAUAAGAUGGGCAUGCGUCUGAUUAGCUAGAUGGUAGGGUAACGGCCUACCAUGGCGACGAUCAGUAGGGGUUCUGAGAGGAUUACCCCCCACACUGGUACUGAGACACGGACCAGACUCCUACGGGAGGCAGCAGUGAGGAAUAUUGGUCAAUGGGCGGAAGCCUGAACCAGCCAUCCCGCGUGAAGGAUGAAGGCCUUAUGGGUUGUAAACUUCUUUUCUGAUGGAAGAAAUUCCCCGACGCGUCGGGGUUUGCCGGUACAUCAGGAAUAAGCAUCGGCUAACUCCGUGCCAGCAGCCGCGGUAAUACGGAGGAUGCAAGCGUUAUCCGGAUUUAUUGGGUUUAAAGGGUGCGCAGGUGGCUUAGUAAGUCAGUGGUGAAAGUCUGCCGCUUAACGGUAGGACUGCCAUUGAUACUGCUAGGCUUGAGUUUGGAUGAGGUAGGCGGAAUGUGUAGUGUAGCGGUGAAAUGCAUAGAUAUUACACAGAACACCGAGUUGCGGAUGAGGUAGGCGGAAUGUGUAGUGUAGCGGUGAAAUGCAUAGAUAUUACACAGAACACCGAUUGCGAAGGCAGCUUACUAAUCCGCAACUGACACUGAGGCACGAAAGCGUGGGGAUCAAACAGGAUUAGAUACCCUGGUAGUCCACGCUGUAAACGAUGAUCACUCGCUGUUUGCGAUACACAGUAAGCGGCUAAGCGAAAGCGUUAAGUGAUCCACCUGGGGAGUACGAUCGCAAGGUUGAAACUCAAAGGAAUUGACGGGGGCCCGCACAAGCGGAGGAACAUGUGGUUUAAUUCGAUGAUACGCGAGGAACCUUACCUGGGCUUAAAUGGGGAGUGACAGCUGCUGAAAGGUGGUUUUCUUCGGACACUCUUCAAGGUGCUGCAUGGUUGUCGUCAGCUCGUGCCGUGAGGUGUCGGGUUAAGUCCCAUAACGAGCGCAACCCUUACUGUUAGUUGCCAGCGGGUAGAGCCGGGAACUCUAACGGGACUGCCACCGUAAGGUGAGAGGAAGGUGGGGAUGACGUCAAAUCAGCACGGCCCUUAUGUCCAGGGCUACACACGUGUUACAAUGGCCGGUACAAAGGGCAGCUACCCCGCGAGGGGAUGCUAAUCUCGAAAGCCGGUCUCAGUUCGGAUCGAAGUCUGCAACCCGACUUCGUGAAGUUGGAUUCGCUAGUAAUCGCGCAUCAGCCAUGGCGCGGUGAAUACGUUCCCGGGCCUUGUACACACCGCCCGUCAAGACAUGGGAGCCGGGGGUACCUGAAGUCUGCAACCGCGAGGAGCGGCCUAGGGUAAAACUGGUGACUGGGGCU
RNAcentral lists this ribosomal RNA (1433 nucleotides) under uncultured bacterium. Its description in RNAcentral is "bacterial SSU rRNA". It matches the Rfam family "Bacterial small subunit ribosomal RNA", at positions 104 to 1482 of the family's 1533-position model. The record is from RNAcentral.